CAAGUAAUGACUGUUUAAAUGAUAAUUUACUUUAAAUGUUAGAAUUGCUAAAGAGCUAUCAACACCAUUAUUUCAAGAUUUUUUUAUGUUUCCAGAUAUAUAUUUUGUCUUUGUGGAAAAUUUAGUUCUUGUUAGGUGAUAUGCAGGUCAAAUAUUUCUAAGCCUGUUUAGAUUUUAGGAGAACAAAGAAUCCUCGCUAAAGAUAUACUUCAUCUAUUAGUUGAUGCUGGCUUAUCAUAUGCAUGCAAGUUAUGUAUAGUUGGUUCUUAAAUUAUUGCCUUGGGAAUAAAAAAAUUAGUAAGUAUGGAGGCUUUGGGGACUAAAGCACACCGGAAAGUAAAUAUAGAUGUUAGGGUUUUGUUGUGCACUCCAUUAGAUUAGAAGGGGAUUCAUACGAAGCCCUUUAGCAAUUCUCCGUAUCACAUCAAAAUGUUAGCUUGUUUGGAAACACCUGUUUAACUGGCCCAACUUCAUUUUGCUGCCAGCCUUAAUCAGCAAGUGAAAUUUUGCUGCUAGGCUUUAUGUCCCAUUUGGCCAGUACAUUUGUGGGGAAAAGUAAUACUCUGUUCCUUCCCUCUCUAGUACAUAUUUGUCCGGGUUUGAGAUUUAAAUUUAUUAAUCUCUAACUUCUCUUUUCCUGUUCUUAUUUUUCUAAACUCAAUUGUUGAAUUGAGCUGCGUGCUGCAGAAGUUUGUUUAGUGUCAGUAAGAAGUAUAAUUCAAAGCCCGCAAACACGAUCAAGAACCAAAUUGAAUUAAGAAGUAUAAUUCAAAGCCCGCAAACACGAUCAAGAACCAAAUUGAAUGCCUUCUGGUUUAUUGUUACUUCAUUCUUAUAUCCCUCUUAUGGUAACAUUUUCUUGUUUGAAAUUUGUCUGUAUGUGCAGGUUUGACUGGUCUGACUCAUUUGGAUCUAUUCUGCGCUCGUAUCACAGAUUCAGGAACAAAUUAUUUGCGAAGUACUUGCAUAUAACUUCUGUCAUUUAUUUAAAAUUAACACGUGUUCCAUUUUGAGAAGUUCUUUUUAGGGUUAAAUUCUGCAUUAUUAUUAUAUUUUAUAUGUUAUUAAAUAUGUAUUUGGAACUGGAAACAGCAGGAUCAUUUACAUUCAUAUUUCAUGUUGUGGGCUGAUUAUUUAGGUUUCAAGAAUUUGCGGUCCUUGGAAGUUUGUGGUGGAGGAUUAACUGACGCUGGUGUGAAGAAUAUCAAAGAUCUCUCGUCUUUGACAAUGUUGAAUCUCUCUCAGAACCACCACCUGACAGAUAGAACCCUGGAACUGAUUUCUGGUAUAUAUUGGCAUCUUUAACUCAUCUAGAUCUUCUUUAUGUGAAUGUGGUUGAUUUUUUUUAGUACUCUGGUAUUUCAAAUCCCUAGAAAUGUAUUGAUACUGAUUACAUAUAUAUUCUUCACUUUGCACGUUUGCGAUGGAGAUAUCAGCNAAAAAAAAAAAAAAAAAGCUUGGUGUUUUUCCUUCUACAACAGUUGAUGCUUCUUCUCAUCUUCCUUUUUGCAUAUCUAUCUACUGACCCCAGUCAGCUCCAUGUAAUGUAUUGUUACUUCAUAUUCAGGGCUUCAGCAUUUGAAAUGUUUGGAGCUGUCUGAUACUGAAGUAGGAAGCAACGGACUCCAUCAUCUCUCUGGUUAGACAAGUGUCUUGUGUAGUGAUUAUAUAGCGUUAUCAUUUAGUGGUGAUCCAUGUUUCUUUGUAUACAUUAAUGUUGUUUAUAUCCUUAAGUAUCUAUUAUGUAGGUUUGACUAAUCUGGAGAGUUUGAAUCUUUCAUUCACUGUUGUAACUGAUGCUGGUCUGAAAAAACUAUCUGGAUUAUCAUUUCUGAAGUCUCUUAAUUUGGAUGCUCGCCAAAUUACAGAUGCUGGCUUGGCAGCUCUCACAAGUAAUGACUGUUUAAAUGAUAAUUUACUUUAAAUGUUAGAAUUGCUAAAGAGCUAUCAACACCAUUAUUUCAAGAUUUUUUUAUGUUUCCAGAUAUAUAUUUUGUCUUUGUGGAAAAUUUAGUUCUUGUUAGGUGAUAUGCAGGUCAAAUAUUUCUAAGCCUGUUUAGAUUUUAGGAGAACAAAGAAUCCUCGCUAAAGAUAUACUUCAUCUAUUAGUUGAUGCUGGCUUAUCAUAUGCAUGCAAGUUAUGUAUAGUUGGUUCUUAAAUUAUUGCCUUGGGAAUAAAAAAAUUAGUAAGUAUGGAGGCUUUGGGGACUAAAGCACACCGGAAAGUAAAUAUAGAUGUUAGGGUUUUGUUGUGCACUCCAUUAGAUUAGAAGGGGAUUCAUACGAAGCCCUUUAGCAAUUCUCCGUAUCACAUCAAAAUGUUAGCUUGUUUGGAAACACCUGUUUAACUGGCCCAACUUCAUUUUGCUGCCAGCCUUAAUCAGCAAGUGAAAUUUUGCUGCUAGGCUUUAUGUCCCAUUUGGCCAGUACAUUUGUGGGGAAAAGUAAUACUCUGUUCCUUCCCUCUCUAGUACAUAUUUGUCCGGGUUUGAGAUUUAAAUUUAUUAAUCUCUAACUUCUCUUUUCCUGUUCUUAUUUUUCUAAACUCAAUUGUUGAAUUGAGCUGCGUGCUGCAGAAGUUUGUUUAGUGUCAGUAAGAAGUAUAAUUCAAAGCCCGCAAACACGAUCAAGAACCAAAUUGAAUUAAGAAGUAUAAUUCAAAGCCCGCAAACACGAUCAAGAACCAAAUUGAAUGCCUUCUGGUUUAUUGUUACUUCAUUCUUAUAUCCCUCUUAUGGUAACAUUUUCUUGUUUGAAAUUUGUCUGUAUGUGCAGGUUUGACUGGUCUGACUCAUUUGGAUCUAUUCUGCGCUCGUAUCACAGAUUCAGGAACAAAUUAUUUGCGAAGUACUUGCAUAUAACUUCUGUCAUUUAUUUAAAAUUAACACGUGUUCCAUUUUGAGAAGUUCUUUUUAGGGUUAAAUUCUGCAUUAUUAUUAUAUUUUAUAUGUUAUUAAAUAUGUAUUUGGAACUGGAAACAGCAGGAUCAUUUACAUUCAUAUUUCAUGUUGUGGGCUGAUUAUUUAGGUUUCAAGAAUUUGCGGUCCUUGGAAGUUUGUGGUGGAGGAUUAACUGACGCUGGUGUGAAGAAUAUCAAAGAUCUCUCGUCUUUGACAAUGUUGAAUCUCUCUCAGAACCACCACCUGACAGAUAGAACCCUGGAACUGAUUUCUGGUAUAUAUUGGCAUCUUUAACUCAUCUAGAUCUUCUUUAUGUGAAUGUGGUUGAUUUUUUUUAGUACUCUGGUAUUUCAAAUCCCUAGAAAUGUAUUGAUACUGAUUACAUAUAUAUUCUUCACUUUGCACGUUUGCGAUGGAGAUAUCAGCUCGAGUAAUUAUUUAGUAGCUCGUAGUAAGGACAAUGAGAUUCCGUUUUUUUCUUUUGUGGAACUACAUACUUUGAUUAAAGUUCGUGAUCUGCUUCUAGGACCUGUGUUGGCAAACAUUUGUUCUUAUAUUUUCCCAGUUGAUGACUGCAUAAAAGCCUCAUAUAUCCACAUAAUUAC
Molecule: long non-coding RNA, 3505 nt
Filed under: Daucus carota (carrot)
Lineage: Eukaryota; Viridiplantae; Streptophyta; Magnoliopsida; Apiales; Apiaceae
Description: long non-coding RNA (DCAR_LNC005191)
Source: RNAcentral